ACUUAGUUAGAUCUAUAUUAUAUAACUUUUUGGUUUCUUGUUUGUAGCACAUUUCUUAAACCCAAAUUUUCAUUAUCGACAUGAUGUUGGUUAUAGCCCACGUUUCACAAACUCUCUGGCAACAGUUGUCGAACAAUUUAACAUAAAUGGAGAAAUUGCGGAUACAUUUGUGGAUGAGAUUGUAUGCUUUAGAGAUGCAAAGGAAUCAUUUGGGUCAACCAUAGCAAGAAAAACAAGAGAAACCAGAAAUACAGCUGAUUGGUGGACACAAUGUGGGUAUUUUGCACCAAACAUGCAGAAAAUUGCAAUGCGUAUUUUGGCACAAACGGCUUCUUCUUCUGCGUGUGAGAGAAAUUGGAGUAAAUUUGCUAUUAUUCAUACCAAGCAAAGGAACCGUUUGGCAUAUCAGAAGUUGGAAAAGCUUGUAUAAUGCUACUACAACAUGAAGCUGCGGCUGCGAGAUAAACAGGCAAAGAAUAAUGUGGUCAAUGAAAACAAUUAUAUAGAUCUACUUCAUGUUGCAAGCAAGCCGCUUGAUAAUGGCAUUGAUUCACUUCAUGAUUGGAUUAUGCCUGCACACCUCGAUGAUGAAGCUGGAAGACCUCUUCCACAAGUUGUAGAAACUGCAACUAAUGAUUGGAUUAUGCCUGCACACCUCGAUGAUGAAGCUGGAAGACCUCUUCCACAAGUUGUAGAAACUGCAACUAAUGCUGGAAUCAACGUAGAGAGAGUCUUAUCUGAAGAA
Rosa rugosa (rugosa rose) is the source of this 745-nucleotide long non-coding RNA. RefSeq lists it as uncharacterized. The transcript is spliced from 3 exons. Lineage: Eukaryota; Viridiplantae; Streptophyta; Magnoliopsida; Rosales; Rosaceae. The record is from RefSeq and is a predicted model, not a curated record.